CCCUGAGUGGUAAAACCAGUUAAUGUGCUUGGCUGCUAACCAAUAGAUUGGAGGUUUGAAUCCACCCAGAGGCA
This 74-nucleotide transfer RNA is filed under the name Loxodonta africana (African savanna elephant). It matches the Rfam family "tRNA". From Rfam's summary of the family: Transfer RNA (tRNA) molecules are approximately 80 nucleotides in length. Lineage: Eukaryota; Metazoa; Chordata; Mammalia; Proboscidea; Elephantidae. The record is from Rfam by way of RNAcentral.